Molecule: long non-coding RNA, 1710 nt
Organism: Lates calcarifer (barramundi perch)
Lineage: Eukaryota; Metazoa; Chordata; Actinopteri; Centropomidae
Exons: 2
Source: RefSeq, a predicted model, not a curated record
AGUUGCUGCAGACAUCUGUAGGUUGGCAGAUUAAUACAUAAUAUGGAGGAAAACAUUUGACAGUGAUUUGGGAGAGGUAGUUUCCUCAUGGUGAGGACAUAUAAGCAGUAUUUUCUGGUGUGAAAUAUUUUUAAAAAUAUAAACCAUACUUUUGUCUCUGGGGCAUCAAAACAUCAAAGCAAUAUUAGAUCCAUAUACUGGAAAAAAGUUAUGUGCCUCAAAGAUUUUUUUUGCAUUCCAUUGCAAAACUUUCUGACUUCCCAGUGAUUGUUUCUGUACUUAGUAAGAAUACUCUGUAAAAUGCUGAGAAGCUGUAUUUCUUUAUCCAGUGGGCCUUCCCUUAACAAUAGCAAUAAAUAAGUAAGCCUCUCCUUAUGCUCUUAAAAAUACAUUUUGACAAUACAUCAGUUUUAUAAUCGGUACAAGAGGCUUAUGAUGCAGGUCCUGGGUAUAUUGGGGAUAAAAUAUUCCCAAAAGCUACUAUUUUAUUAUGUUAAAAACAGCAUUAAGUGACACUUACGAGUAUUUUUCAUUUAGCAUUUUAGAUGGAGAGAUUCACUUUGUAAAUGAGAUGGAUAAUUAGUAGAGCAUUUUUAACUUGCUAAAAAUAACUGCAGCUCGCCAACAACAAGUACAGUAAUUAAGAGAAAAAGCCAAUACACAGAUUUAAAAAAACAAACUCAUUAUCAUGAGUGUUUAUUUUCAGCAACACCUGCCUCCACACAUCAUUGUGGGAUCUAUUUAUGAAAACUUCACCAAAUCCUGAGGAGGCAACUGGGUACAUUUUCAGAAAGAUUUGUCAGUUUCAUUCAGGAUGUACUUGACUUUGACUUUGAAUAAUUCUUAACAUUAUUGAUGAUACAGUGUCAUCCCUGUCGCUACAGCAGUUUCACUAAAAGUCCCAGCUGAAGGUCCGCAAGGGACAGUCUCAAUGUCAGGAAAUGAAAAUGAGAAUAAUUCAUGCCAAGGCUCUCCAUCACACCAGUGGGAGGGAUGAAUAAACCAGCGCACUGAGCCUAACUCACCUACAAUCAAGGACGAGGCCUCAAACUCAUGGAGCCGCUGACGGUGUCACCCUGACCCUGAUCCUGUUUUAAGCUUAUAACUAAUAACUUCUACUUUGUUACAGAGUCACUCCCUCCUCCACCUCUCCCACUCAUCCUCCCUUCACAUCACAAUGAAACCAACUGAGGAUCAAGAUGUUACCUGUAAUGAACAGGCAUUAAAAGACCUUUGCAUCAUGGAUGCCACCAGACACCAUCAGAAAAACACCGCCUCCCUCUCCUCCUGCUCUGCGCAACACACACCUGCCAGCACCAAAGUGGGACACCUGGAAUUGCAUAAACAAAACCGAAGCUGGGAGAAACCUCACAGUAUUGUAAGCAGGACGCCAAUGGAUUUCCUUAGGAGAGUAAGUAGCUGUUCACCCUUCAAUGUCGCAUUUUAAGCAUGUAAUCAAGUCCAGAAUAAUUGAAUACGUGGCGAGCAUGCCAAGGUAUGGAGGUUGGGAGAAUUAGGAGGAAAGGAGAGGAAACAAGAAGAUGAGAAAAACAGAGGGAGAUUGAGGUGAGGGUAAAUGAAGAGGAGAGCGGAAGAAACAAUGAGAGGAAAGAAGACAAGAAGAAGAGACGAAACAAGAGGAGAAGAAAAUAGAGAAGAAACAAGGUGUGGAGAGGAACAAAGGGGAAGAUUUGAGAUGAGGAAAGAGGA